CCACCCCUUUCCCCAAGGCCCACCCCCGCCUGCCUCUUGCUGCCCCCACUCCAUUCCCUCCCCACAAGGACCACCCCGCUCUGCCCUUGCUCCGCCUCUUCCUGCCCCCGUGCUACCCGCUUCCCCCAGCACCUCCCCACCGCUGCUGAACAGUUGAUGGCCGGGUGGCUGGUGGGUGCUGAGCACCCACUAUUUUUUUCCAUGGGGGCUCCAGGGCUCGGGCUCCAGGGCUGUAGACCAGCUACCUGAAGCUCCAUCCCUACAUUCAGGAAACAUUUAUGUUUUAGUUCAAGCCUUCUCUGCAGAUGCAGCUGUUGGGACUGCAGUAUGACAAGAAUCUAUAACAACUGUAUCCUCACCACCUGCUCCUGUUUAAUUACUGCUUAUCAAUCACCCACAUGUGGAAUACACAUAGGGACCAGUGCUCAAAGAAGAAAUGGAGGUUGCUGACCUGUAAUUGGAGGUUCUUUUGAGAUGUGUGGUCCCUAUCUAUAUUCCACUACUCGCCUUCCAUCCCCUCAGCUUUGAAUUCUUCUGAUUUGCGGUAAGAGAGGAACUGGAGAGUCUGCACUGCCCUUAUGCCCUCAGUUCAGCGCUCAAGGAGAACAGCUGCACAGGCGUGGACCAAUGGACACUACUUGCUAGAAAUCUCUGGAUCUCAGCCACAUGAUGCAUGUGGGUAUUCACAUGUGGCAUACAGAUAGAGACCACACAUCUCAAUCAGUGUUCCCUCUAAUUUUUUCCAUCCAUGUACGGAAUAAAUUUUGUUAUAUGCACUGAGGGAUGUGUGCCACCAGUAAAAACAAAAAACCUAGAUAUAAUAUAUAUAUUUUUUAAAGUUACCAUAGGGAUAAUUACUCCAGCCAGGACAGGUUAGGGAUUUUAGAACUCACUACUCAAAGAAUUAAAUUUAAGUGUAAGAGAAAUAAAAAUUAUGAAAUGCAUUGACGAGUCAAAACACUAAAAUAACUCACCUUGAAAGAAUAGAAUUACAGAGAAUAUAUGGCAAAGAGUCCUGUGGCAACUUAUAGACUGACAGAUGUAUUGGCGCUGAAGCUUUCAUGGGUGAAUAUCCACUUCGUCAGAUGCAUGAGAAUGUGCAUUGCAGGAAAUACCAAGAAGUAACAACAACAAUAAUACAAGUAUGUGUUGGGAGCAGCAGCCAAAGGCUUCAAUCAAGAGCAGGACCCCAUUGUGCUGGGCGCUGUACCAACACACAGAUUCUCCCUGCUCCAAAGACAAAGAAGACAGAUAAAGUGUGGAAGGGGAAAGAGGUGCAGAGAGGGGAAGGAACUUGCCCAGGGUUGCGCAGCAAGUCAGUGGCUGAGUUUGGAAUAGAACAGUGAGCAGUGUCCCCCGCUUUAUGCAGUCUUUUUGGAAGAAAAGCUGAUCAAUCCAACUCCCCAUCUUGUCCUUGUAUGUAACCUCUGGAGGUGGUGUUUCUAUGUGACUAUCCUAUCUAUCACAUCAUCUGGUAUGACACCCUCAUGCAAGAAGGAUACAUGUGCCCUGAUUAAAGUCCCUUGGUUGGUCAGUCUUUAGCAUUGUAACAUUUUCCAGCAAGGGCUUAGGGUCGUUGGACAUGUUGGUUUAGCUAAUUUUCCCUCUGAAAGAUUGCCUUGAGGUCUACACUUGCCCAGCAGAGCUCAAGGUUUUCCCAUCCCUAAACAAUUCAGAGUCCUAAGCUCUUAACAUUGACACGGUAGACAACCUUUGAAUUGACAGUUUCAGGAAUGUGUAUGCAGACAGCGAGUCACACUUCUGCCUCUGUGCUAACAUACAUAAAAAAUAUGGUAUCUGGAGACAGAACAAGAGCUGAAAUAAAAAAACAAAUGUAACUCA
Chelonia mydas (Green sea turtle) is the source of this 1842-nucleotide long non-coding RNA. RefSeq lists it as uncharacterized. Lineage: Eukaryota; Metazoa; Chordata; Testudines; Cheloniidae. The record is from RefSeq and is a predicted model, not a curated record. The transcript is spliced from 2 exons.